GGCAAAGAGAAGAAGAAGGUAGAAGUGACACAGAAGAUGAAGAUGAAGGCUCUGAAUCACCUAUUGUGUCUGGAGAUGAGGUUGAUAGUGAGGAAGGUAUGUGUAAUUCCCAAUCCAUUCAUCAAUGUAGUAAGUAGUAACUGCUAAGUAUCUCAGAGAUUCAUUAUAGUUUCAGCAGUUCCUUUUCACAAUUUUAUUUAUUAAUUUCUGUUAUGCAAGGUAGUAGGUAACUUGUGGACUUGUGAAAUUAUGUGUCUUUCCUGGUUAUGCCUAGAAGGUUCCCAAAAUUUUAAUGAAGUGAUAAUUUUACCAGCCAAAACUCAUAAGAAAAUGGAAUAAUCAUUAUGUCCGUUGUAAAUAAAUAAAAUAGAAAAGAUUAUGAAUUUGCACAACAAGACAAAUUGAGUCCACUUUCUUUCUUUGUACAUAAUGGUUAAGUGUUCUCUCUGACCUCUUCAGAAUAAAUGAGUCAUUGUUCACACUGGUAUCAGUGGGAUCUCUGAAAGCAUCUCCUAUUUUCUUUCUCAACGAAAUGACCCUCAUUAUUGUGAAGGAGUCUUCCCAUGAGUUUGUUCCUUCAUUGUGGGAAGGCCAGUAAGUCUUCUCACUUCUACCCACAAAUCUUGGGCAUUCAAAUAAGAAAAUAGCUGACAGACUAUUGUGCAAUUUAGGCGUCUUUGAGGGUUGAUCUUCGAGUCGAAAUUUUCAAGUCCCUCAGUAAUUUUUUCUUUUCAUCACACAAAAAUGUUUUUGUAGAUAGAAAUUAGUUUACGUGGAUGCUAUAUAUAUAAUGUCAUUAUAACUGAUGUUUGGUUUUGCAUGUUUUUGUUGACUUUGCGUAAAUAUUAGGCAAACGUGAGAUUUUGUUCUUACAAGUUGUUUUUAUUCUCAGGAUCCUUCCACGAGAACCGACCUUCAAGAACCUACCCAGGCUACUGUGUUGCAGAGUGAUGAUGCUGAAUGUGAACAUGAGGAUGAGCCAUUUGACACGGACCAAGAGGAUGGUAUUGACGGUAAUGGACAAAGCAGACAUUCAGUUGACAUCUCACUCAUGUCUAUAAGGUAGGGAAGAUAAACACGCUGCCUUGUUUGUAUAGUUAUUUGUUUACUUUUGAGCUUUUAACAUUAGUUUAUUAAGUCACGGAGAAA
This 1149-nucleotide long non-coding RNA is filed under the name Aquilegia coerulea. RNAcentral's name for it is "long non-coding RNA (ACOE_LNC002044)". The record is from RNAcentral. Lineage: Eukaryota; Viridiplantae; Streptophyta; Magnoliopsida; Ranunculales; Ranunculaceae.